Long non-coding RNA from Cebus imitator (Panamanian white-faced capuchin), 270 nucleotides. RefSeq lists it as uncharacterized. The record is from RefSeq and is a predicted model, not a curated record. The transcript is spliced from 3 exons. Lineage: Eukaryota; Metazoa; Chordata; Mammalia; Primates; Cebidae.
UAUCAGAAUAAUGAUUUAGUUAUUUAGGAUGUGCCUAAAUAAAGGUGACUGGUGAGGUUGGUUUAUUUUUUUAUUUUUUUCUAAAUUUUUUUUUUUAUUUUAAAAAAUUUUUAACUAGGGGAAAGCGCGAACGCAGUCCCCCACUAUCACAAAUUAUGCAGUCGAGUUUUCCACAUUUGGGGAAAUCGCAGGGGUCAGUACAUCCGGAGUGCAAUGGAUAAGCCUCGCCCUGGGAAAACCUCCUUCGUGAUCAUGAUCGAAAGAGCACAC